ACCUCGUUGGCUCAGUUGGUAGAACAUGUGACUCUUGGUCUCAGAGUUGUGAGUUCAAGCCCCACAUUGGGUA
This 73-nucleotide transfer RNA is filed under the name Canis lupus familiaris (dog). It matches the Rfam family "tRNA". Rfam says of the family: Transfer RNA (tRNA) molecules are approximately 80 nucleotides in length. Their secondary structure includes four short double-helical elements and three loops (D, anti-codon, and T loops). Further hydrogen bonds mediate the characteristic L-shaped molecular structure. tRNAs have two regions of fundamental functional importance: the anti-codon, which is responsible for specific mRNA codon recognition, and the 3' end, to which the tRNAs corresponding amino acid is attached (by aminoacyl-tRNA synthetases). tRNAs cope with the degeneracy of the genetic code in two manners: having more than one tRNA (with a specific anti-codon) for a particular amino acid; and 'wobble' base-pairing, i.e. permitting non-standard base-pairing at the 3rd anti-codon position. The record is from Rfam by way of RNAcentral. RNAcentral also lists the same sequence under 2 other names. Lineage: Eukaryota; Metazoa; Chordata; Mammalia; Carnivora; Canidae.